UGUUUCGGCAAGGGGGUCAUCCCGACUUACCAACCCGAUGCAAACUGCGAAUACCGGAGAAUGUUAUCACGGGAGACACACGGCGGGUGCUAACGUCCGUCGUGAAGAGGGAAACAACCCAGACCGCCAGCUAAGGUCCCAAAGUCAUGGUUAAGUGGGAAACGAUGUGGGAAGGCCCAGACAGCCAGGAUGUUGGCUUAGAAGCAGCCAUCAUUUAAAGAAAGCGUAAUAGCUCACUGGUCGAGUCGGCCUGCGCGGAAGAUGUAACGGGGCUAAACCAUGCACCGAAGCUGCGGCAGCGACGCUUAUGCGUUGUUGGGUAGGGGAGCGUUCUGUAAGCCUGUGAAGGUGUGCUGUGAGGCAUGCUGGAGGUAUCAGAAGUGCGAAUGCUGACAUAAGUAACGAUAAAGCGGGUGAAAAGCCCGCUCGCCGGAAGACCAAGGGUUCCUGUCCAACGUUAAUCGGGGCAGGGUGAGUCGACCCCUAAGGCGAGGCCGAAAGGCGUAGUCGAUGGGAAACAGGUUAAUAUUCCUGUACUUGGUGUUACUGCGAAGGGGGGACGGAGAAGGCUAUGUUGGCCGGGCGACGGUUGUCCCGGUUUAAGCGUGUAGGCUGGUUUUCCAGGCAAAUCCGGAAAAUCAAGGCUGAGGCGUGAUGACGAGGCACUACGGUGCUGAAGCAACAAAUGCCCUGCUUCCAGGAAAAGC
RNAcentral lists this ribosomal RNA (707 nucleotides) under Escherichia coli. Its description in RNAcentral is "partial 23S ribosomal RNA". It matches the Rfam family "Bacterial large subunit ribosomal RNA", at positions 911 to 1618 of the family's 2925-position model. The record is from RNAcentral. Lineage: Bacteria; Pseudomonadati; Pseudomonadota; Gammaproteobacteria; Enterobacterales; Enterobacteriaceae.